Molecule: long non-coding RNA, 534 nt
Organism: Colias croceus (clouded yellow)
Lineage: Eukaryota; Metazoa; Arthropoda; Insecta; Lepidoptera; Pieridae
Exons: 2
Source: RefSeq, a predicted model, not a curated record
UGGGAACGUAUAUGGGCUGAUGAUGAUGGUGAAGGUCAAAACGCGAGUCUUAUCAUUUUCAAAUCGUUAAUGCACACAAAAAUUAUAUGCCCUGAACAUCGAGAAUGAAAACUAAAGUUAAUUAAACAAGAGAGUUCUAAAAAAUAAUCACACAGUUAAUUAAGUUAAUUAAAAACUGCGAAUAAAAAGUCGACUCCUAAGGAGAGGCAAUCAUAUCGACAUGAUUGCCGCCCAUUUGAUAUUUGCUCUUGUGAUAAUAAAUUGUGUCAUCGCAACCAAUCACAACGAUGUAGAUGAAGAAGACGUAGAAAUCGUUAUAAGCCUGAAAGAAUUGUUAGGUCCUAAAGAUGAUUCGAACAAUCCAGAUCAUGGGAAUCUUCGAAAUAGGAGACCAGGAAAGAUACAAACAAGACCAUAUAUUAUACCAAAUGAAUACCAACGAGAGAAGUUAAGGAUAAAAUUUCGAGAUGCAUGGAACAUUUUCCAAGAUAUUUAUGGAAUUUUUAGUUUUUAACAAAUAAACUUUAAAAUUGA